UUUUAUGCACACGGAAAUGCAUAUACAUAUCAAAUUUUAACAGAAUAAGGGUGUCUCACAAAUUUUAUCACAUGUUGUGUGUGAAAAAGGUGCGUCCGAAAAUGCAUCUUUGGACGUUGGGGAUAUUUUAUUCUUUUCACGAUGACGAGGGAUAACCCCUAAGGGUGGAAAGAGAAAUUCCUUAAACUUAACGGCUUCCAUCUUUCAAAUGGAUAUUUUAUUUGGGUUGCUCAUGUAAGUAUUGUG
This 246-nucleotide long non-coding RNA is filed under the name Lathyrus oleraceus (garden pea). Its description in RNAcentral is "Pisum sativum (pea) long non-coding RNA (PSAT_LNC002801)". Lineage: Eukaryota; Viridiplantae; Streptophyta; Magnoliopsida; Fabales; Fabaceae. The record is from RNAcentral.